UGCACGGUGGAGCAGUUGGUAGCACUGUUGCUACCAAGAAGGUCCUGGGUUCGAUUCCCGGUCGGGGGUCUUUCUGCAU
Molecule: non-coding RNA, 79 nt
Organism: Crenichthys baileyi (White River springfish)
Lineage: Eukaryota; Metazoa; Chordata; Actinopteri; Cyprinodontiformes; Goodeidae
Source: the annotation of a GenBank genome assembly